AAAAUCCGUCGACUUUAAAAUUCGUGAGGGUUCAAGUCCCUCUAUCCCCA
Molecule: transfer RNA, 50 nt
Filed under: Aphyllon dugesii
Lineage: Eukaryota; Viridiplantae; Streptophyta; Magnoliopsida; Lamiales; Orobanchaceae
Description: partial tRNA-Leu
Source: RNAcentral